This 1287-nucleotide ribosomal RNA is filed under the name metagenome. Its description in RNAcentral is "bacterial SSU rRNA". It matches the Rfam family "Bacterial small subunit ribosomal RNA", at positions 242 to 1520 of the family's 1533-position model. The record is from RNAcentral.
UAGCUAGUUGGUGAGGUAAAGGCUUACCAAGGCGACGAUCUGUAUCGGGUCUGAGAGGAUGAUCCGCCACACUGGAACUGAGACACGGUCCAGACUCCUACGGGAGGCAGCAGUGGGGAAUUUUGGACAAUGGGGGCAACCCUGAUCCAGCCAUGCCGCGUGAGUGAAGAAGGCCUUCGGGUUGUAAAGCUCUUUCGGCCGGGAAGAAAUCGCAUGGGCCAAUACCCUGUGUGGAUGACGGUACCGGAAUAAGAAGCACCGGCUAACUACGUGCCAGCAGCCGCGGUAAUACGUAGGGUGCGAGCGUUAAUCGGAAUUACUGGGCGUAAAGCGUGCGCAGGCGGUUUUGUAAGACAGGCGUGAAAUCCCCGGGCUUAACCUGGGAACUGCGUUUGUGACUGCAAGGCUAGAGUACGGCAGAGGGGGGUGGAAUUCCACGUGUAGCAGUGAAAUGCGUAGAGAUGUGGAGGAACACCAAUGGCGAAGGCAGCCCCCUGGGUCGAUACUGACGCUCAUGCACGAAAGCGUGGGUAGCAAACAGGAUUAGAUACCCUGGUAGUCCACGCCCUAAACUAUGUCAACUAGGUGUUGGGUGGGUAAAACCAUUUAGUACCGUAGCUAACGCGUGAAGUUGACCGCCUGGGGAGUACGGCCGCAAGGUUAAAACUCAAAGGAAUUGACGGGGACCCGCACAAGCGGUGGAUGAUGUGGAUUAAUUCGAUGCAACGCGAAAAACCUUACCUACCCUUGACAUGCCAGGAACUUGCCAGAGAUGGCUUGGUGCCCGAAAGGGAGCCUGGACACAGGUGCUGCAUGGCUGUCGUCAGCUCGUGUCGUGAGAUGUUGGGUUAAGUCCCGCAACGAGCGCAACCCUUGUCGUUAAUUGCCAUCAUUUAGUUGGGCACUUUAACGAGACUGCCGGUGACAAACCGGAGGAAGGUGGGGAUGACGUCAAGUCCUCAUGGCCCUUAUGGGUAGGGCUUCACACGUCAUACAAUGGUCGGUACAAAGGGUUGCCAAGCCGCGAGGCGGAGCCAAUCCCAGAAAGCCGAUCGUAGUCCGGAUUGCAGGCUGCAACUCGCCUGCAUGAAGUCGGAAUCGCUAGUAAUCGUGGAUCAGCAUGUCACGGUGAAUACGUUCCCGGGUCUUGUACACACCGCCCGUCACACCAUGGGAGCGGGUUCCGCCAGAAGUAGGUAGCCUAACCGCAAGGGGGGCGCUUACCACGGCGGGGUUCGUGACUGGGGUGAAGUCGGAACAAGGUAGCCGUAGGGGAACCUGCGGCUG